RNAcentral lists this transfer RNA (69 nucleotides) under Cervus elaphus (red deer). RNAcentral's name for it is "transfer RNA Arg". It matches the Rfam family "tRNA". Rfam says of the family: Transfer RNA (tRNA) molecules are approximately 80 nucleotides in length. Their secondary structure includes four short double-helical elements and three loops (D, anti-codon, and T loops). Further hydrogen bonds mediate the characteristic L-shaped molecular structure. tRNAs have two regions of fundamental functional importance: the anti-codon, which is responsible for specific mRNA codon recognition, and the 3' end, to which the tRNAs corresponding amino acid is attached (by aminoacyl-tRNA synthetases). tRNAs cope with the degeneracy of the genetic code in two manners: having more than one tRNA (with a specific anti-codon) for a particular amino acid; and 'wobble' base-pairing, i.e. permitting non-standard base-pairing at the 3rd anti-codon position. Lineage: Eukaryota; Metazoa; Chordata; Mammalia; Artiodactyla; Cervidae. The record is from RNAcentral. RNAcentral also lists the same sequence under 8 other names.
UGGUAUUUAGUUUAAAACAAAAUAAAUGAUUUCGACUCAUUAGAUUGUGAUUAAAUUCAUAAUUACCAA